UCUAGCUUGCUAGAUGCUGACGAGUGGCGCACGGGUGCGUAACGCGUAUACAAUCUACCUUUAACUGAGGGAUAGCCCAGAGAAAUUUGGAUUAAUACCUCAUAGUAUUAUAAUUAGGCAUCUUUUUAUAAUUAAAACUUCGGUGGUUAAAGAUGAGUAUGCGUACUAUUAGCUAGUUGGUAAGGUAAAAGCUUACCAAGGCAACGAUAGUUAGGGGGCCUGAAAGGGUGAUCCCCCACACUGGUACUGAGACACGGACCAGACUCCUACGGGAGGCAGCAGUGAGGAAUAUUGCACAAUGGAGGAAACUAUGAUGCAGCCAUGCCGCGUGCAGGAAGAAUGCCCUAUGGGUUGUAAACUGCUUUUAUACAAGAAGAAACCUCGGUACGUGUACCGACUUGACGGUAUUAUAUGAAUAAGCACCGGCUAACUCCGUGCCAGCAGCCGCGGUAAUACGGAGGGUGCAAGCGUUAUCCGGAUUUAUUAGGUUUAAAGGGUCCGCAGGCGGAAUAUUAAGUCAGUGGUGAAAGCCUACAGCUCAACUGUA
Molecule: ribosomal RNA, 547 nt
Filed under: uncultured Bacteroidota bacterium
Lineage: Bacteria; Pseudomonadati; Bacteroidota
Description: bacterial SSU rRNA
Rfam family: Bacterial small subunit ribosomal RNA
Source: RNAcentral